RNAcentral lists this ribosomal RNA (774 nucleotides) under uncultured Neocallimastigales. Its description in RNAcentral is "partial large subunit ribosomal RNA". It matches the Rfam family "Eukaryotic large subunit ribosomal RNA", at positions 26 to 637 of the family's 3401-position model. Lineage: Eukaryota; Fungi; Neocallimastigomycota; Neocallimastigomycetes; Neocallimastigales. The record is from RNAcentral.
CGCAUCUGUGCAUGCAGCAUAUCAAUAAGCGGAGGAAAAGAAACUAACAAGGAUUCCCCUAGUAACGGCGAGUGAAGCGGGAAGAGCUCAAAUUUGAAAUCUUAAAGGGUUUCCCUUUACGAAUUGUAGUUUAAAGAAGUGUUUUCUGUUGAGGUUUUGGUAAAAGUUCUUUGGAAUAGGACAUCAUAGAGGGUGAGAAUCCCGUAUUUGACCUUUACUUUCAACUUUGUGAUACACUUUCAAAGAGUCGGAUUGUUUGGGAAUGCAGUCCAAAAUGGGUGGUAAAUUUCAUCUAAAGCUAAAUAUUGGCGAGAGACCGAUAGCGAACAAGUACCGUGAGGGAAAGAUGAAAAGAACUUUGAAAAGAGAGUUAAACAGUACGUGAAAUUGUCAAAAGGGAAGCGUUUGACACCAGUGUUGUUUUUCUGAAAAUCAAUUAAAGAACUGUUUAUGCUAAGUUGUUUAGACUUUAUCAGCUAACUGUUUAGUUUUGAGCUUUUCUUUAAUGCACUUUUCAGUUAACAAGUCAACAUCAAUUUCUUUUGCUGUAAAAAAGCUUGAGGAAGGUGGCUUGAGAUUCGUCUUAAGUGUUUAUAGCCUCUUGCCUAUGCAGUCGGAGAGAUUGAGGUCUGCAGCGUAGAUCCUUCGGGGCUAAAUGCAUUUGUACUAAGUUAUAACAUUUUAUAGACAACUUGUUGACUAUGAUUUGUCUUGUAGCUUACUCGCUUAUGUUAUUUUACCUACGCUUAGGAUGUUGACAGCAGUAUAGACUGU